This 440-nucleotide ribosomal RNA is filed under the name uncultured bacterium. RNAcentral's name for it is "partial 16S ribosomal RNA". It matches the Rfam family "Bacterial small subunit ribosomal RNA", at positions 338 to 795 of the family's 1533-position model. The record is from RNAcentral.
CCUACGGGAGGCUGCAGUAGGGAAUAUUGCUCAAUGGGGGAAACCCUGAAGCAGCAACGCCGCGUGGAGGAUGAAGGUUUUCGGAUUGUAAACUCCUUUUUUUAGAGAAGAUAAUGACGGUAUCUAACGAAUAAGCACCGGCUAACUCCGUGCCAGCAGCCGCGGUAAUACGGAGGGUGCCAGCGUUACUCGGAAUCACUGGGCGUAAAGGGCGCGUAGGCGGGAUAGCAAGUCAGAUGUGAAAUCCUAUGGCUUAACCAUAGAACUGCAUUUGAAACUGUUAUUCUAGAGUAUGGGAGAGGUAGGUGGAAUUCUGGGUGUAGGGGUAAAAUCCGUAGAGAUCAAGAAGAAUACUCAUUGCGAAGGCGGCCUGCUAGAACAUAACUGACGCUGAUGCGCGAAAGCGUGGGGAGCAAACAGGAUUAGAUACCCGAGUAGUC